Molecule: ribosomal RNA, 492 nt
Filed under: uncultured bacterium
Lineage: Bacteria
Description: partial 16S ribosomal RNA
Rfam family: Bacterial small subunit ribosomal RNA
Source: RNAcentral
AGUGAACGCUGGCGGUAGGCCUAACACAUGCAAGUCGAACGGCAGCACAGUAAGAGCUUGCUCUUACGGGUGGCGAGUGGCGGACGGGUGAGGAAUACAUCGGAAUCUACUUUUUCGUGGGGGAUAACGUAGGGAAACUUACGCUAAUACCGCAUACGACCUACGGGUGAAAGCAGGGGAUCUUCGGACCUUGCGCGAUUGAAUGAGCCGAUGUCGGAUUAGCUAGUUGGCGGGGUAAAGGCCCACCAAGGCGACGAUCCGUAGCUGGUCUGAGAGGAUGAUCAGCCACACUGGAACUGAGACACGGUCCAGACUCCUACGGGAGGCAGCAGUGGGGAAUAUUGGACAAUGGGCGAAAGCCUGAUCCAGCCAUGCCGCGUGGGUGAAGAAGGCCUUCGGAUUGUAAAGCCCUUUUAUUGGGAAGGAAGAGCAGCAAGUUAAUACCCCGCUGUUUUGACGGUACCAAAAGAAUAAGCACCGGCUAACUUCGUG